Hyaena hyaena (striped hyena) is the source of this 601-nucleotide long non-coding RNA. RefSeq lists it as uncharacterized. The transcript is spliced from 2 exons. NCBI's taxonomy places the organism in Eukaryota, Metazoa, Chordata, Mammalia, Carnivora, Hyaenidae. The record is from RefSeq and is a predicted model, not a curated record.
ACCUUCCCGGGCACAUCAACCUGAGCCCUCAGGGCUAAUCAACACACUAACACGUCAGUAAGACUCAGCUGGCAACGUUUGUAAAGAUGCCUCAAAUACCUUAGCCCAAAGCAUGGCCCUUCUAAAUCUCAGAUCUGCCCCCGCUGGAAUUCAGGGACUUGGACUUGCACACGGAAUGGUGGCCUGAAGGCAGAGAUUUCUAAUAAUUGAAGCAGACGAUAUCCGAUGGGGACAGCUUUCCCAAGCUGCCUCGAUCAGGAGCUCCCAGGAGACGGACAGGAUUCUGAGUUUGCCGCAGGAAGAACUUCCCUCCCCAGGGCUGGAGAAAGUGCCAGUGAACACAUGAUGAGAAAUCUCUCCCUAACAUCAAGAGAACAGGCCAAUUCCACAGUCAACAGAGGAGCCGAGCUUCAGGAUAAGUUGUCCAAGGUAGUUCGAGACAAUUGCAUAGCCCUUGAUUAUCUACUUGCUGAACAAUGAAGCAUCUGUGUGACAGGAAACAUCGCCUACCUGCUGCAGGUAGAUACACGCCUCAGGGGAGGUACAAAGCCGAUUACACAGAAUGAGAGGAAAAAACACUCUGGCUACAGCAAAUUCCACC